This 421-nucleotide ribosomal RNA is filed under the name Fusobacteriota bacterium. RNAcentral's name for it is "Fusobacteria bacterium partial 16S ribosomal RNA". It matches the Rfam family "Bacterial small subunit ribosomal RNA", at positions 355 to 776 of the family's 1533-position model. The record is from RNAcentral. Lineage: Bacteria; Fusobacteriati; Fusobacteriota.
UGGGGAAUAUUGCACAAUGGACGGAAGUUUGAUGCAGCGACGCCGCGUGGAGGGUGUAGGCCUUCGGGUUGUGAACUCCUUUUUCUCGCGAAAAAGGCACAGUUUUGGCUGUGUUGAUGGUAGUGGGGGAAGAAGCGCCGGCUAACUACGUGCCAGCAGCCGCGGUAAUACGUAGGGCGCGAGCGUUGUCCGGAUUUAUUGGGCGUAAAGAGCUCGUAGGUGGUUCGUCGCGUCUGUCGUGAAAGCCAGCAGCUUAACUGUUGGUCUGCGGUGGGUACGGGCGGGCUUGAGUGCGGUAGGGGUGACUGGAAUUCAUGGUGUAGCGGUGGAAUGCGCAGAUAUCAGGAGGAACACCGAUGGCGAAGGCAGGUCACUGGGCCGUUACUGACACUGAGGAGCGAAAGCGUGGGGAGCGAACAGG